This 507-nucleotide long non-coding RNA is filed under the name Brachypodium distachyon (stiff brome). Its description in RNAcentral is "long non-coding RNA (BDIS_LNC004361)". The record is from RNAcentral. Lineage: Eukaryota; Viridiplantae; Streptophyta; Magnoliopsida; Poales; Poaceae.
CAAGCAGUGGAGUACUCUAUAUUUUUAGUUCGGCACGGUCAUUUACUCGUUUAGCUAGCAUGGUUCAUUUAGUUCGUGUUUGUCGUCACGACCAUACACUCUCCACGGGCCAGAUGGCUGAAGUUCGAUCGUGUUUUCAAGUUUUGAUUCUAUUUUUGUCUAUUUUACAAUGCAAGGUCGUUAUUCAGCUAGCACGUACGUACCACCUCACAUUCUUUUUUUUUUUACCAGUACGUACCACCUCACAUUCUACUGAAUAUACUCCAAUAUCAACAUAUGAAUUACAGAAACUUUAUUCUUGGCCCUUGGAUUAUGCCAACAUAAUUUCAGAAAACUAACAUUGCCACAUGUACAAAUCGUGGAUACAGUAUGUAGUAUGUAAAUCCACUUAUUGCAGAGCCAGGAAUGUCAAGCAAGGCCGUCGGCCCUUCCAAACAGAGAUCAACAGAGCAAACAAGAGCUCCUCACGGGUUAACGAAGACGUCGAGCUCAAGCACAGCAUUAGGG